RNAcentral lists this long non-coding RNA (489 nucleotides) under Pongo abelii (Sumatran orangutan). RNAcentral describes it as "lincRNA". The record is from RNAcentral. Lineage: Eukaryota; Metazoa; Chordata; Mammalia; Primates; Hominidae.
UCUGUGGCUGAUGGGAGGACCAGGGCUGAAGAAAGGAUGGAGGGAUGAAGGGCAGCCCUCCUGCUGCGGGUCGCCCUGCUGCUGCCCUGGGCCUGCAGCUCAUGGCACGUGGGUCUCUGGGAGUCCUUGUGGAUGUGUCUCUCCAGGGCCCUCCAUCCUCAGUGGGCAGGAGAAUCCCCUAGGGAGCUUGCUCUCAAAUUCUCAAUAGCAUACACACGGCUGCCACAAAUACACAGAAGUGCUGGGAAUUAGCUCUGUGAGACAGGCCUAUUUCAUAUAAGAAAAAUGAGGAUCAGAGAAGCUGAAAGUCUUGCUGAGGACACCCCAGCAAGGCGAAUUACAGGCCCAGAAUUCUAACGAGGGCAUCCGGACUCUGGGAUUAGAACCGCCUUCUGCGUCCCAGGAAAAACCUCCCCUAGUCAUGCCCAGAUCUGCCUGGUCUAAAAACCACAAAAAUAGCAGGAGUUUCCACUGAGUCAAUGCUUGUCA